This is a long non-coding RNA of Aedes albopictus (Asian tiger mosquito), 5502 nucleotides long. RefSeq lists it as uncharacterized. The record is from RefSeq and is a predicted model, not a curated record. The transcript has 2 exons. NCBI's taxonomy places the organism in Eukaryota, Metazoa, Arthropoda, Insecta, Diptera, Culicidae.
UCUGAGGAACUUUGGCGGACGAAGACGAGCUCUCGAGAACUGCUGGGGUACGGUAAAAGCAGCCAUCAACAACGCAGAGGAGACCAACGUUGGGUAUGUGGAACGGAGCCAAACUAACGAUUUGUUCGACGAUAGAUAUAGAGAGAUUUUGGAAGGAAAGAAAGCAGCGAGGGCGAUCAUGCUGCAGCACGGGACCCGGCAGAACGUGGAGCGAUAUAAAAGAACGCAGAAACAGAAAGAAAAAGCUCCACCUGGAAGAAGCGGAAUGUAACGAAAUGGAACUGCUGCGUCGUUCACAAGAAACACGAAAGUUCUACUAGAACCUUAACGCAUCCCGCAAAGGCUUUGUGCCGCGAGCCGAAAUGGGCAGGGAUAAGGACAGGAGAAUCUUCACUGAUGGACGUAAGCUGAUCGAAAGGAGGAAGCAGCACUACGACGAACACCUGAAUGGUACGGAGAACGCAGACAGGGAGGAUCAAGACAGCGGAAGAAAUGACUACGUCAGCAUAGCAGGGAGCAACAACGAGCCAACCAACACCAACUUUGAGGUAAGUUAAGGAAGCUAUCUAGCAGCUCAAGAACAAUAAGUCAGCUGGUGAGGAUGGUAUCGGAGCUGAACUCAUCAAGAUGGGCCCGGAAAAGUUGCCCACCUGCCUGCACCGGCCAAUAGUUCGAAUCUGGGAGAACGAACAGCUAUCGGAGGGGUGGAAAGAAAAGGUCAUUUGCCCCAUCUACAAGAAAGGCGACAAGUUGGAAUGUGAGAACUUCUGAGCAAUCACAAUUCUGAAUGUCGCCUACAAAGUGAUAUCCCAGAUCAUCGUCCAUCGUUUUCACCCAAAGUUAAUGAGUUUGAGGGAGUUAUCAAGCCGACUUCGUUGAAGACCGCUCGACAACGGACCAAAUCUUCACCAUGCGACAAAUCCUCCAAAAAUGCUGCAAAUACCAGGUCCCAUCGCACCACCUGUUCAUUGACUUCAAGGCGGCGCGGCGUACUACAGUAUCGACCACAGAGAGCUAUGGAAAAUCAUGGAUGAAAACGGCUUCUCCGGAAGGCUUAUUAGAUAGAUCGAAACGACGAUGGACGGUAUAAGAAUCUGCGUAAGGGUUUCGGGCGAUCUAUCUAGUUUGUUCGAAUCUCGCCGGGGACUACGACAAGGUGAUGGACUCUCAUGCCUACUGUUGAACAUCGCCCUGGAAGGUGUUAUGCGACGAGCCGGGCUCAACAGCCGAGGCACGAUUUUCCCGAAAUCCUGCCAAUUUGUCUGUUUUGCGGAUGACAUGGAUAUUAUUGCUACAACAUUUGGAACGGUAUCAGAACUGUAGAGUAGAGUGGGGCAAGAGUUUCUUUUGAAGUUUUUGAGCUCAAUUCAAAUUAUUUCUUUCGGGUGUCAAGGUUGUUCGAAGCCUUUUUGAAAAAGAGUCUUUCACUCCAAAAAUUAUGAAAAUUGAUCAAUAUUUCGAAAAGUUAUGACUAAAUGUUGGUUUUUGAUCAAAAAAUUGUAAUAUGCGAAGGUCCUUCCAACGCAUGGAAUGGAUAUGUAAUGAAAUAGAAUUCGAUAUUUUAUUUUGGGGCGUAACUAGGUAUAUUUUGAAGAUGCUUUAGCAUGUAUAACUUUUUGCAAAAAAGAUUUGGAAAUCAUAUUUAACACAUAGUGGGGCAAAAGUUCGAAUUGUGGGACAAAAGUUCGAGUCAUGUGGCAACUUCAGGUAAAAACCUAAAAUUGGGUAAAAUGUACAUAUUAUCUCUAAAAAUAAUGGAAUUAGUGAGAAAAUGCGAUCAAAGUUUAAAAAAUUUGUUGUUUUAUCUGAAUUUGGCGGAAAACUACUAAUUUUUGGUGUAGUAAAUUUAACCCUGAUUUGGGUUAAAUCCUGAUCGAACUUUAAAGUGUAUUCCAGUUCCAACAUCAAAUAUUAAUUGGUUUCAGGUAUUUCUAUUACCAAAGUGUCAACAUAGUGUGCUACGGUUAGCAAAAUUUCACAAACACUAGAUUCGAACUUUUGCCCCAGUGGUGGGGCAAGAGUUCGAAUAAGACGCACACAUACAAAAGGUGUUGUAACUCAAAAUUGAAAAGACAUUAGGCGUAACUCUAUUCAGCAAAAUUUUAGCUCAUUGAUGGUAGAAUCACCACACGUAUUUAUUUUUAUCUGCUUCAAUUUUUUGAGAAAAAUUGAUUUUUCAACUAAGGUCGAACUUUUGCCCCACCUUACUCUACACCCGCCUUAAACGUGAAGCAGCAAAGAUCGAACUCACGGCGAACGCGUCGAAAACGAAGUGCAUGCUAGCAGGUGGUUGAGCACUUCGUCUACCUCGGGUCCACAUUAACGGCAGACAACAACCUUAGCCGCGAAAUACGAAGACGUAUCAUCAGUGGGCUCCACAAGAAUCUGCGGUCGAAAAAGACUCAUCCUCGCACCAAGUGUACCAUGUACAAAACAUUAAUAAGCACUCGAAGUGUUUGAGCGACGGGUGCUUAGGGCCAUCUUUUGCGUUGUGCAGGAAAACAAUGUGUUGCGGCGAAGAAUGAACCACGAGCUCGCUGCACUCUACGGCGAACAUAACAUACGGAAGGUAGCAAAAGCUGGACGGAUACGAUGGGCGGGGCAUGUUGUGAGAAUGCCGGAAAACAACCUUGCAAACCUAAGUAACAUUUUGAUGACCAAUAAGUUAUUUGGAGGUUUUGGAAACCAUCAUAAAACCUAAUACCUUUUAUUUUGGUUUAUUGAUAGUCUGAAGAACCUCUUCCGGACUAUUUGACUAAAAAGUAUUGCUUGCUUGUACAAGACCUGGAGGGCAGCGUGCAGAACGAUCUGGCAAAUGUGGGACGAGGCCGAGGAUAGAGGACUGUAGCCACGAGCCGAGUGUUGUGGCGAAGAAUUGUUGAUUCAGUUUCGAACGAUAAAUUUCAAAGUACAAUAUUGAAAUCCUAAAAAAAUCCACACAUUUCGUCAAAAAUAUUCCAAAUUCCCCGGUAAAAAUAAGCCCUGAAACUUCACUACAUAUGUUCCGGGUCAUUUGACCGAAAACCAUUUGGCCGGAAGGAUCAUUUGCUCGAACGCCGUUUUAACGAAAAUGAAUGAUGAACUCAAGCGAUAAUGUCACUUUUAUCCACAUCGAGUAACUAACAAGAAGAGCCGCUUGGCCGAAUGCCAUUUGACUAAAUGUCGGAUUGUUUGGCCGAAUGCCGUUUAGUUGUACUGCUAUAGCAUACAUUAGUUUUCUUGGUAAUGUGGUCUUCGCAGGUAGUUGAAGAGCAUGCAUGACUUUCCUCCUCAGCGUCCGCUGCAUGGGAUGAGGUAAAAGUAGAUUGUUUACAUUACAUCGAAAUUUUCAACUGUCGCCUUAACCCUCUUAUACCCAAAUUUGUGAUUCUGAUCUAAAUGUAAUUUUUCGUCGCCUAAAAUCGAUUUAAACAUGUUUUGGAAGUUAAUUCUUUUUAAUUCUAGAUUUUGUGAAUUUUGGUUUUUAAUUUUUCUAAAUUUUUUGGAACAUCCCUACACUUUCAUAUUUUUCCUGCAAGCCUAUUUGGUAUACCGAUUUUUAAGAUGAAAACAUUUGAAAUUUUUAUGUUUUUUUUUAUUUCUACUUUUUUUCAUGGAAUUUUUUAUUGUCCGUGUAAUUUUUAGGAAAAUCAUUUAAGUGUGUGUUAAAUUUCCUGAAACUCUUUUACAAUAAUCGAAUGAUUAGGGAAAAAAUUAAAACACGCGAAUUGUUGCGAUUAAAUACAAAAGAUACAAUGAAAUCUGAAAGGUGACCAAAACACCAAUUUCUCAAUGAUUUUUCAAAAAUGUUGAUACGUUUUAAAAGACACCAAAAACCAUUUUGAAAUAUACAGAACAGUCCUAAAUAUCCGCUCAAAAUAUAAAAGUUUUGAUUGGCAAGAAAAAAUACAAAAAUGGGGCUAGUAAAUAGUAGGGUAUUAGAGGGUUAAAUUGACUCAUAUGUAUUUUAUUUUAGAAGUUGCUUCUUAGUAAAAAAAAUACAAAUGAAAAUUGACUUUUUCAUUGGAAACAGAUGAAGAAUGAGCCAACGAAAAUGCGGAAGAUUGUCUGAUUGAAGAUGUUACAAGAGCUCCUCAAUGUGAUAGUAUACAAUAAUUAAAAAUACCUAUGGAUCUAGAAGAUUAUUGGCUCGUUUGAUUUUCUAGAGUGUGCUUUGCUCAUGCAGAGCUGUCGAAAUUUCCUGCAAAUUGUCAAGUAGUGACAUAGUGUAUGUAUUGGAAUAUUUGAGUUUGAUAUAUGCAGAGCUUGCAGAAUAAGCAAAACUCUGAUUCAACUGAAAUUUUACAUUUAAUGAAGGUGUAUUAUAUUAGUGCAAACUAUUUUGCUGCACACACUGGUACCAACUCAACUCAACACAUGUGUGUAGGUCGACCCAAAGAAGACAUGAUAACACCAGCAACGAGAGACGAAGCGGUUGGAAAUGGCCUUUCUUCGGUAUGUGCGCAUCCCCGGCUCCUCAUUUCAAGGGAAGAAUCUAAUUUAUAUUCAUUAGGCGUAUUAAGCACAUUUUAUUGUGUGGCGCUGACUGUGUGCACCAACAGAAAGAAGAUGCUCUCUGCCAAGUGCCAAGUGCUUUAGUGCUUUUGGCCGCAGGCCACGCGGAAGCAUUCAACAAUAUUACAGCCACAGAGAACAGACAUCCAAGUCCAGUUCCGAAACUGUGUAAGGAAUUUAACGGCCAUUUGAAAUCGGCAACUCAAGUGGCAAUAGCGUGGCGCUGCAAUCGGUUAAUUUCCCAUACUAAUUUAAUUCACCACUUGAAAUGUUUCAAUUCACCACUGACUGUGGCAAUAUGGUGUUUGGUGGCGUUAGUGUUGUCAUCGUGUAUUGGUUUGCAACCUUACUCAAGUAAAGAUUCAAAUCCUUACACAACUUUCCGAAUGAAAUUUGUUCUAGCCUGGAUGUCUGUUCUCUGUGUUACAGCUACCUACACACCAUCAUCGCAUCAUCGGUCGGAACGGAACUGUACGAACUGUAAAUUCCCCGCAAAGGACUUCCUUCCAAUCGAUAAAAACAAACCCCUUCCGCCAACUAUCGAUUCUUCCGCCAUGGGUUCCAUGCAGAUGGGUACUAUGCAAAUGGCAAAUUCCGAACAAAAUGGGAAAACUUAUCUAUUAUUAUUCAUUUUUCUCCGCCGAAUUCGACGACCGAGCGACUGAAACAUAAGUAGAACCUCUUCAGCAGCCGAGCCAGCCGGGGUUCAGGGUACUCUAGAGCCCGAACCAAGAAGACACGAACGACGAGCGGUCGGUCGCAGGCACAUGUGCACCGCACAUGUGUUCCUUUUCCUUUCUGAGGUUAUGUCGCACAUAUAUGAUUUGAGUUUGUUCCUGGUUCUGUUGAGUUCAGUUCGUUUUUUUUCGGGAAGGCACUUUUUCAUCUCACUUUGCCAAUCCAAUAUCUUAUGCUGCAUGGUUCUUUCUCGUUCGUUGUCGUUAUCUUCCACAUUCCUUUCGGGACUUGAUUGUGCAGAGUAGAGGGAGUUCGGCGUGAAAUGUGCUG